AUGCCUAUAGUUCUAUUACAAAUUCUGCAUAUUCAAAUACAUAUAGAAAUUAUGCCUAUAGGUUUAUUACAAUCCUGCAUAUUCAAUUACCUAUAGAAGUCAUGCUUAUAGGUUUAUUCCAAUUCUGCAUACAUAGAAAUCAUGUUCAUAUGUUUUAAAACAAAUUCUGCAUUUUUAGAUAUCAUGCCUAUAGGUUCAAAAUGAUUCCUGCAUUAGAUACCAUGCCUAUAGGUUCGAGAACAAGCUUCUGCACCUAGAUGCUACAUUUAAAAUCAGCAUUGUAUAGAAAGCAUGCCUACGCUAUUUAUUAAAUUCAGCCCCUCUUUAAUAAUCUGAGUCCCUCGCUUAACCAAAGUUUAGCAAGCAUAUCUAUAGGAUUUUUAAAUAACCCGUCUUGAGUUUUAAUGUCUUAUUACCUUCCAAAUUCAGUAGAUAUCAUGCCUAUAGGACCCCGACUUAUCACUUAGGUAAGCCUUAGGAUAAUAACUAUUAAAAAGUGAGUCUGCUUCUGUUAACUAUUACAACCGGCAGGCAGGCCUGAUUCGAGCUUCUUAUAUGAAUUAUGUAAUAAACCAUGUCUGCCACAAUUUUUAAACUCUCUCAUAUUUGGUAUUUAAUCAGACCUAAACAAUAUGUGAAAGUCAUGAUAAUUAUGUGUUUUUUUUCUAUUCAAGGAGGUAUAGCUGAGCCUCUCUUUGUUUAUAUGAUUCCUCCUAAAAAUGUGCAAUAUGUGUUUUUGUUUGGCGCCUUAGAGUUUUUACCUUUUUAAAUCCCAAACAAGCCUGAGUUACUUCCCGUUAGGAUUAGUAGCCUAAGUGCCUCCGGGACUGAUAGAGUGGGACGGGUAAAAUCAUGCAACAAGUAAUCGAGACCAAUCCGCACUUUAGUACCUUAACGGGGUUGGAAGGGUAGACGUGUAUAUGAUGACCACGCGAUAAUGUCACGUGUAGCCCCUAUUUGAGAAGUGAUUACCAGACAUUGUGUGGGGUAAUCCAUAUUUUUCGUAAACCUAGGACCCAUUCCCUUUAUUCUUUACUUCUUUUUAGCCUUUUUAAUCAUCUUUUUUAAAUUGCUCUUUCAAAUCUUGUUUACUUCUAAACCAUUAUGUGUUGAAAUCCCCUCUUAUUUGAGCCUUAUUUGUUUAUAUGUAACUAUACCCAAAUUCUCAAUAAACCUUCCCCUUAAAAUAAUUUCAAGCCCUUACCCAAUCUCUUGUUAUUCAAAUCAAACCCAUAUGGUGUCUUAAUGCACCCUAAUCAUUAGGUGGAGACUCUUCAAGUGCAAACUCAGUUCCCAAAAGGAAGGAGUUAUCCCUCCAAGUGUCAUAAACCUGAUUUUGCGAGAAAAAGGGGGCGCAAUAGCAUGACGACUCUGCUGGGGAUUUUUUUGGCUUUUACCAUUUCAGACUAUUUUUUUGAAUUUAUGCUUCUUUAUGCACAAUUAUUUGUUUAUUUCUUUUAAGCAUUAAAUUUCCUUUUCGAUUGUAAAACCGACUUGUCGCCUUUUUUCUUUUCUUUACCUCUUUCCUACUGCUUUAAAUUAUGGAAUUGUUGUACUUACUGCUUUCUUAACAUGCAAAUACAUGACAAUAUGCCUUUAAUUGUCGCAUAAUCAUAAUAAACAACAUAUUUCACUUGUGCCAAACAAAUCCUAUAGAAACGCUUAUAAUGAGUGGUUGGGCUCUUCCGAUAUUAUCACCCCCUAAAUUCGAAAAGGCAUAUUUGCGGUAAAAUUAGUCGAUCAAGGGUGUAGUCGAUGGUUCCUUGCCUUCCCCAUUCAGUUGUCCGCUCAAGGGUACUAGUGUAAAACCCCAUAUAAACCUUACUCUAUUUAAAUUGUGCAUGCAUCAUAGUCAAAC
This 1858-nucleotide long non-coding RNA is filed under the name Nicotiana benthamiana. RNAcentral's name for it is "long non-coding RNA (NBEN_LNC002792)". Lineage: Eukaryota; Viridiplantae; Streptophyta; Magnoliopsida; Solanales; Solanaceae. The record is from RNAcentral.